UUUCGGGUCCAAACAGGCACACUCAAACUCAACCCCACAUGGGGGCCGGUUUGGUGUUGGGCAAUUAUUGCGUUGUGCACACCAUGACUUGCGUCACCCUUUCAGUACGAGAGAAGUACUCGUAAAACAUAUCUUCCCCCUUGCGUGUCUGUUUGACUCCUUGGUCCGUGUUUCAAGACGGGUGAAGGUACCCCAUUCCCUGGCGCCAACGUUGAGAACAUUGGAACGCGCGCAAGCUCGCCGCUCGCUGCCAGAGGCAGUGCGACAAACUUAUCGAGGUCCCCACGUCCCACCCUCAUUAUGCACUUGAGUUACCCGCACGGGUUUGGUUAUGGCCGACGGGAAAAUGCCUCAAAGGGUGGUGUUGGCAUGAAAUGGAGGUACUUCCAUUACCAUUGUCACGACUUCAGGUUCUAUGUCACUCUCUUUCCAAAGUGCUUUUCAAACUUUCGCUCACGCUACUUGUUCGCUAUCGGUCUUCCUA
RNAcentral lists this ribosomal RNA (484 nucleotides) under Kinetoplastida sp. LDR2000. RNAcentral's name for it is "partial 24S ribosomal RNA". The record is from RNAcentral. Lineage: Eukaryota; Euglenozoa; Kinetoplastea.